RNAcentral lists this ribosomal RNA (497 nucleotides) under uncultured bacterium. RNAcentral's name for it is "partial 16S ribosomal RNA". It matches the Rfam family "Bacterial small subunit ribosomal RNA", at positions 28 to 507 of the family's 1533-position model. The record is from RNAcentral.
GAUGAACGCUGGCGGCGUGCCUAAUACAUGCAAGUCGAGCGAACGGACGAGAAGCUUGCUUCUCUGAUGUUAGCGGCGGACGGGUGAGUAACACGUGGAUAACCUACCUAUAAGACUGGGAUAACUUCGGGAAACCGGAGCUAAUACCGGAUAAUAUUUUGAACCGCAUGGUUCAAAAGUGAAGGACGGUCUUGCUGUCACUUAUAGAUGGAUCCGCGCUGCAUUAGCUAGUUGGUAAGGUAACGGCUUACCAAGGCAACGAUGCAUAGCCGACCUGAGAGGGUGAUCGGCCACCCUGGAACUGAGACACGGUCCAGACUCCUACGGGAGGCAGCAGUAGGGAAUCUUCCGCAAUGGGCGAAAGCCUGACGGAGCAACGCCGCGUGAGUGAUGAAGGUCUUCGGAUCGUAAAACUCUGUUAUUAGGGAAGAACAUAUGUGUAAGUAACUGUGCACAUCUUGACGGUACCUAAUCAGAAAGCCACGGCUAACUACGUG